GAUGAACGCUGGCGGCGUGCUUAACACAUGCAAGUCGAACGGACAGGCCCUGCUUUUGUGGGGUGCUCGAGUGGCGAACGGGUGAGUAACACGUGAGUAACCUGCCCUUGACUUUGGGAUAACUUCAGGAAACUGGGGCUAAUACCGGAUAGGAGCUCCUGCUGCAUGGUGGGGGAUGGAAAGUUUCGGCGGUUGGGGAUGGACUCGCGGCUUAUCCGCCUGUUGGUGGGGUAGUGGCUUAACAAGGCCUUGACGGGUAGCCGGCCUGAGAGGGUGACCGGCCACAUUGGGACUGGGAUACGGGCCAGACUGCUACGGGAGGAAUCGGUGGGGAAUAGUGCACAAUGGGCGGAAGCCUGAUGCAGCAACGCCGCGUGCGAGAGGACGGCCGUCGGGUUGUAACCCGCAUCCGCCUGUGACGAAGCGAGAGUGACGGUAAUGGGUAAAGAAGCACCGGCUAACUACGUG
RNAcentral lists this ribosomal RNA (468 nucleotides) under uncultured bacterium. RNAcentral describes it as "partial 16S ribosomal RNA". It matches the Rfam family "Bacterial small subunit ribosomal RNA", at positions 28 to 507 of the family's 1533-position model. The record is from RNAcentral.